Molecule: ribosomal RNA, 497 nt
Filed under: uncultured bacterium
Lineage: Bacteria
Description: partial 16S ribosomal RNA
Rfam family: Bacterial small subunit ribosomal RNA
Source: RNAcentral
GAUGAACGCUGGCGGCGUGCCUAAUACAUGCAAGUCGAGCGAACAGACGAGGAGCUUGCUCCUCUGACGUUAGCGGCGGACGGGUGAGUAACACGUGGAUAACCUACCUAUAAGACUGGGAUAACUUCGGGAAACCGGAGCUAAUACCGGAUAAUAUAUUGAACCGCAUGGUUCAAUAGUGAAAGACGGUUUUGCUGUCACUUAUAGAUGGAUCCGCGCCGCAUUAGCUAGUUGGUAAGGUAACGGCUUACCAAGGCAACGAUGCGUAGCCGACCUGAGAGGGUGAUCGGCCACACUGGAACUGAGACACGGUCCAGACUCCUACGGGAGGCAGCAGUAGGGAAUCUUCCACAAUGGGCGAAAGCUUGACGGAGCAACGCCGCGUGAGUGAUGAAGGUCUUCGGAUCGUAAAACUCUGUUAUUAGGGAAGAACAAAUGUGUAAGUAACUAUGCACGUCUUGACGGUACCUAAUCAGAAAGCCACGGCUAACUACGUG